UGUCUCUAAUAUUUAUUUAUAACAGUGUCUUGAAUAUUUAUGUAUGACAGUAUCUUUUCUCCUCACAGGGAGUCAAGCUCUCAUCAGCAUUAUCACUUUGUUUCUCAGGCCUUGAAUUCCAGUGUAGAGGGGUCACAGGGAGCCGUGUUCUCCUCAGCAUCAUCACCUUGUUUCUCAGUGACUCAGAGCAGACAUGUUCCAACUAAGGCCUUCAUCCCACCGUAGGCGUCACAGCUGGCUGCAGAACGUCCAUCUUAAAAGAACAUGUGGCCAACAUGUGAAAGUCUAUAAGACUCCAAGGAUUUCCCUCCCCGGACGUUCACCCACUGUGAGACCAGUCGUGUAGGAUCAUGCUGCAGGCAGUAUUACAUUCACCACCGUGUCUCCGGACUCCAGUAUGUCACAUGUGCUCAGUGUGAACCUGCUGACAUCUGUGAAGGGGGCAGGCACAAGAGUUGGACCCGCUUGUUCUGGUGUUCUCUGGUGAAUGCUGGUUGAUCUGCAUGGUGCUCGGCUGUGACCACAGUUCCCACUAAAGGACACUGAGCCCUCGCGCCAGGCUCAGGACUCAGUUUCUUACAGUUUGAUCAGAAACAUGCAAAUGGGUAACCUGCUGGAGGUAAUUUCGUUGGGCUCUGGCAGUGCUCCUUCUGUUCCUUCUUCACAAAGGAGCAAAAACCAUUCCUGGUCCGAGUUCUGGGAAUCUGGGAAUCCACACCAUCCAUACCAUCUCAUGCCACCCACAGUAACAAGGACAUGAGCAUAUAUAAAUGAAUGUUUAGAGGUUCAUUGUUUCGAAUUUACUUUACAGGUUUUACUUUAUGUCAUAUGUUUUAUAUGUUUGUCUACAUGAUUUAAAUGUCUGCUGACUUAUAGAAAAUGUGCUGCUCAUACAUUAAUUUAUGAUC
Long non-coding RNA from Oreochromis niloticus (Nile tilapia), 908 nucleotides. RefSeq lists it as uncharacterized. The record is from RefSeq and is a predicted model, not a curated record. The transcript is spliced from 3 exons. Lineage: Eukaryota; Metazoa; Chordata; Actinopteri; Cichliformes; Cichlidae.